GGCGGAUGUAGCCAAGUGGAUCAAGGCAGUGGAUUGUGAA
This 40-nucleotide transfer RNA is filed under the name Daucus carota (carrot). RNAcentral's name for it is "partial tRNA-His". RNAcentral also lists the same sequence under 110 other names. Lineage: Eukaryota; Viridiplantae; Streptophyta; Magnoliopsida; Apiales; Apiaceae. The record is from RNAcentral.